CACGUAGGGCGCAAGCGUUGUCCGGAAUUAUUGGGCGUAAAGAGCUCGUAGGCGGUCUGUUACGUCUGCUGUGAAAACCCAGGGCUUAACCCUGGGCUUGCAGUGGAUACGGGCAGACUAGAGGCAGGUAGGGGAGAAUGGAAUUCCCGGUGUAGCGGUGAAAUGCGUAGAUAUUGGGAGGAACACCAGUGGCGAAGGCGGCUACCUGGACCGGUUCUGACGCUGAGGCGCGAAAGCGUGGGUAGCAAACAGG
Molecule: ribosomal RNA, 253 nt
Filed under: uncultured bacterium
Lineage: Bacteria
Description: partial 16S ribosomal RNA
Rfam family: Bacterial small subunit ribosomal RNA
Source: RNAcentral